AACGAACGCUGGCGGCGCGCCUAAUACAUGCAAGUCGAGCGAGAAGGUGUAGCAAUGCACUUGUAAAGCGGCGAACGGGUGAGGAAUGCAUGGGUAACCUACCCUCGAGUGGGGAAUAACUAGCCGAAAGGUUAGCUAAUACCGCAUACGUUUCCGGAACUUCGGUUUCGGAAAGAAAGCAAUACCGUGGGUAUUGCGCUCCUGGAUGGGCUCAUGUCCUAUCAGCUUGUUGGUGAGGUAACGGCUCACCAAGGCUUCGACGGGUAGCUGGUCUGAGAGGACGAUCAGCCACACUGGCACUGCGACACGGG
This 311-nucleotide ribosomal RNA is filed under the name uncultured bacterium. RNAcentral describes it as "bacterial SSU rRNA". It matches the Rfam family "Bacterial small subunit ribosomal RNA", at positions 29 to 330 of the family's 1533-position model. The record is from RNAcentral.